AGAAGAUACUAAGGGCGCACGGCGGAUGCCUUGGCACAGGAAGUCGAAGAAGGACGCGGCAAGCUGCGAUAAGCUCCGGGGAGGCGCAAACGGCCUUCGAUCCGGAGAUCUCCGAAUGGGGGAACCCAGCAGGGGUCAUGCCCUGCUACCCGCGCCUGAAUGAAAUAGGGCGCGAGGAGGCAACCCGGGGAACUGAAACAUCUAAGUACCCGGAGGAAGAGAAAUCAACCGAGAUUGCGGGAGUAGCGGCGAGCGAAACCGCACCAGCCCAAACCCAUGCACGUGCAAGCUUGAGGGCGUUGCUGCAUGAGGGGUUGUGGGACCGCGCAUUCCAUGGGCCUCAGACCAUGGACGCAGUUACAAAUCCGCGCGGAAGCGGAACGGCCUGGGAAGGCCGGCGGAACAGGGUGAGAGCCCCGUACGCGAAUCCGCGCGGACUGCGAGUGCGGCGCCCGAGUAGCGCCGGGCACGUGAAACCCGGUGCGAACCUGGGGGGACCACCCUCCAAGGCUGAACACUCUCCUGUGACCGAUAGCGAACCAGUACCGUGAGGGAAAGGUGAAAAGCACCCCGAGAGGGGAGUGAAACAGUACCUGAAACCGUGCGCCUACAAGCAGUCGGAGCCCCCGAGCGGGGUGACGGCGUGCCUUUUGUAGAAUGAGCCAGCGAGUUGCGGUAUGCGGCGAGGUUAAGGUUUGAACCGAGCCGCAGUGAAAGCGAGCCUUUAAGAUGGCGAUAGAGUCGCAUGCUGCAGACGCGAAGCCGGGUGAGCUAUCCAUGGGCAGGCUGAAGCGGGGGUAAGACCCCGUGGAGGGCCGAACCCACUUCGGUUGAAAACGGAGGGGAUGACCCGUGGAUAGGGGUGAAAGGCCAAUCAAACCCGGAGAUAUCUCGUUCUCCCCGAAAUAGCUUUAGGGCUAGCCUCGGCCGUUCUCCGACGGCGGUAGAGCACUGGAUCGUCGAGGGGGCUUCACCGCCUACCGACACGAACCAAACUCCGAAUGCCGCCGGAUCAGAGGCCGGGAGUCAGAACAUGUGGGCUAAGCUGUGUGUUCGAGAGGGAAACAGCCCAGACCGCCCGCUAAGGUCCCCAAGUUUAUGCUGAGUGGCAAAGGAUGUGCGUUUGCCUAGACAACCAGGAUGUUGGCUUAGAAGCAGCCAUGCAUUUAAAGAGUGCGUAACAGCUCACUGGUCAAGUGGACAUGCGCCGACAAUUCACGGGGCUAAGCAUAACACCGAAGCGGCGGACUAAUCUAUAUUAGUGGUAGGGGAGCUUUCCCCGCAGCGGAGAAGCCGAGAGGGCGACCCUCGGUGGAGCGCGGGGAAGUGAGAAUGCUGGCAUGAGUAACGAGAGCGGCGCGAGAAACGCCGCCGCCGUAAGCCUAAGGGUUCCUGGGCAAGGCUAAUCCUCCCAGGGUCAGUCGGGAGCUAAGGCGAGGCCGAGAGGCGUAGCCG
Molecule: ribosomal RNA, 1455 nt
Filed under: Eggerthella lenta 1_1_60AFAA
Lineage: Bacteria; Bacillati; Actinomycetota; Coriobacteriia; Eggerthellales; Eggerthellaceae
Description: bacterial LSU rRNA
Rfam family: Bacterial large subunit ribosomal RNA
Source: RNAcentral